Molecule: ribosomal RNA, 1560 nt
Filed under: Triticum aestivum (bread wheat)
Lineage: Eukaryota; Viridiplantae; Streptophyta; Magnoliopsida; Poales; Poaceae
Description: partial small subunit ribosomal RNA
Source: RNAcentral
AUGGAGGACGUGCUCGCAAGCUACAACUGCAAUCCGCACACUCAGAAACUGUUGGAACAGCUGGCAAUCAGACCUGAUCCUAAGAAGCGCUUCACCCUGGCACAGGGCAUCAUCCGUUUCAGAGAACGCAUAUGGCUGGGAGGCAGCACCGAGCUACAACAGAAAAUUAUGGUAGCUUUCCAUGAAAGCCCCAUCGGAGGACACUCUGGGUUCCCAGUGACUUACAAGGGUAUCCGCAGGUUAUUUUCUUGGCCCAAGAUGAAGACCCACAUUGAGCAGUACGUCAAGUGUUGCCAGAUAUGCCAACAAGCCAAAACAGAGAGAGUGGCAUCACUAGGGCUGCUGCAACCUCUUCCUGUUCCACAGGCUUCGUGGGAUAUGAUAACAAUGGACUUCAUCGAUGGAUUGCCACAAUCAGGUCAGCACAACUGCAUCUGGGUUUUAGUCGACCGGAUGACCAAGUUCGCUCAUUUUCUGCCUCUUGCCCACCCAUACACCACUUCUCGAGUGGCUCAACUGUUCAUGCAGCGCAUCUAUCCAAUUCAUGGGUUUUCUCAGGCCAUUGUCUCUGAUUGGGAUCCGGUUUUCAUGAGUCACUUCUGGCAAGAACUCUUUCGUUACGCCGGCACUGAACUUCGUUUGAGCACCGCCAACCACCCUCAAACGGACGGGCAGCCGGAGCGAGUGAACCAAUGCCUUGAAACCUUUCUCCGUUGCUUCACUCACGCUUAUCCCAAGCGAUGGAGUCAUUGGCUUCCUCUUGCUCAAUUCUGGUACAAUUCUUCACCCCAUUCUUCCAUUGGCAUGACUCCCUUCAAGGCCAUGUUUGGGCAUGAAUCCCGACAUCGGGGAAUCACUACAACUACAGCGUGCUCGGUACCGUCACUUCAGUCCUGGUUGGACGAACGCGCCAUCAUUCAGGACCUGCUGCAACAGCACUUGCAGCGUGCUCGGCUCCGCAUGAAGCAACAGACUUACCGUAAGUGUUCUGAGCGUAGUUUGGAAGUGGGGGACAUGGUGUUUCUGAAACUACAACCUUAUGUCCAGACGUCAGUGGCAAAAUGGGCUAAUCACAAGCUUUCGUUCCGGUUCUACGAUCCUUUUCCUGUCAUCAGCAAGAUCAACGAGGUGGCGUAUAAGCUGGAACUGCCCCCGCAAGCCAUGAUCCACCCAGUCUUUCAUGUUUCCAUGCUGCGUCGCGCGGUGCUCCCAGGUACGCCGGUCGAACCAGUACUUCAUGUACUCUCUGAUGUACUAGCGGUGCCUCGAGCCAUCCUCGACACUCGCUGGAAGCGCAAGCAAGGAGCCAUGGUGGAACAGGUCCUGGUGCGCUGGUCGGAUCGAACCAAGAUCGACGACACCUGGGAAGACAAGAAAGAGCUGCAAGCUCGUUUUCCACCGGCUGAGGCUUGGGGUCAAGCCUCUUCUCAAGAAGGAGGGGAUGUCAGGCCCAGUACCACUCCUUGUCCUCCCAUCGUCAAGUAUACGGCCUCGGGCGUGGGCCGGCCAGCAAGGCGAAGGAAGCCCAACCCGCGAAACCAAGGCCCAGAGUGGGUGUGA